This 1281-nucleotide ribosomal RNA is filed under the name Yamaguchiella coerulescens. RNAcentral's name for it is "SSU rRNA". It matches the Rfam family "Eukaryotic small subunit ribosomal RNA", at positions 459 to 1713 of the family's 1831-position model. The record is from RNAcentral. Lineage: Eukaryota; Metazoa; Arthropoda; Thecostraca; Balanomorpha; Tetraclitidae.
GGGAGGUAGUGACAAUAAAUACCUUACAGAGGUCUCGUUAACCGAGAUCUCUCAAACGGAAUGAGUACAACGUGAAUCCUUUAACGAGGAUCGACUGGAGGGCAAGCCUGGUGCCAGCAGCCGCGGUAAUUCCAGCUCCAGUAGCGUAUAUUAAAGCUGUUGCGGUUAAAAAGCUCGUAGUUGGAUAUCAGUGCGUGUCCGGUCCGGUAUGCCUGGCGCUGUCGCUCACACGGCAAUGCUGGGCUCCCAAAUAUCGGCUGGCCGCAUUCAAUCGUGCCGGAUCCGUCGACGGGCCGUUCUUCGGAGGGGCCUGUUGGCGACCGGCGACGUUACCUUGAACAAAUUAGAGUGCUCAAAGCAGGCUCUGAAUGCCUGUAUACAUAUUCAUGGAAUUGGAGAAUACGUCCCUGGCUCGAUUUGGUUGGUUUUGAGAGUCGAAGGGAAAUGAUUAAUAGGGACUGACGGAGGCAUUCGUAUUGCGACGCGAGGGGUGAAAUCCUGUGACCGUCGCACGACGAACUACUGCGAAAGCAUUUGCCGAGAAUGUUUUCAUUAGUCAAGAACGAAAGUUAGAGGUUCGAAGGCGAUCAGAUACCGCCCUAGUUCUAACCGUAAACGAUGUCGACCAGCAAUCCGCAAUGGUCACUACACGGACUAUGCGGGCAGCUUCCCCGGGGAAACCAGAGUUUUUGGACUCCGGGGGAAGUAUGGUUGCAAAGCUGAAACUUAAAGGAAUUGACGGAAGGGCACCACCAGGAGUGGAGCUUGCGGCUUAAUUUGACUCAACACGGGACAACUCACCAGGCCCGGACACCGUAAGGAUUGACAGACUGAUAGCUCUCUCUUGAUUCAGUGGGUGGUGGUGCAUGGCCGUUCUUAGUUGGUGGAGUGAUUUGUCUGGUUUAUUCCGAUAACGAACGAGACUCUGGCCUAUUAAACUUGACGCUGCCAGUCUCUUCUGACUGCGGCGCGCUUCUUAGAGGGAUCAUCGGCGUCCCAGCCGAAGGAAAGGGAGCAAUAACAGGUCUGUGAUGCCCUUAGAUGUUCUGGGCUGCACGCGUGUUACACUGAAGUGGUCAGCGCGCCGUUCAACGUCCCUCUCCGUGAGGAGCGGGCAAACGUUUGAACCCUUUUCGUGAUGGGAAUUGGGGGUUGCAAUUGUCCCCCAUGAACGAGGAAUUCCAAGUAAGCGCAAGUCACUAGCUUGCGUUGAUUAAGUCCCUGCCCUUUGUACACACCGCCCGUCGCUACUACCGAUGGAUGAUUUGGUGAGGUCGCCUA